RNAcentral lists this ribosomal RNA (820 nucleotides) under uncultured bacterium. RNAcentral describes it as "bacterial SSU rRNA". It matches the Rfam family "Bacterial small subunit ribosomal RNA", at positions 59 to 860 of the family's 1533-position model. The record is from RNAcentral.
AAUUAGACCGGUAAAAUUUGGUGCUUGCCCCGGAUGGAGGAGUUGCGAACCGGGUGAGUAACGCGUAGGUACCCUCCCUCAUAGCGGGGGAUAAUUAUGGAAACGAUAGUUAAUUCCGCAUAACAGUCUUUUAAUUCAUGUUAGAGGCUUGAAAGGGGCAAUUGCUUCACUAUGAGAUGGACCUGCGUUGUAUUAGCUAGUUGGUGAGGUAACGGCUCACCAAGGCGACGAUACAUAGCCGACCUGAGAGGGUGAUCGGCCACACUGGGACUGAGACACGGCCCAGACUCCUACGGGAGGCAGCAGUAGGGAAUCUUCGGCAAUGGGGGCAACCCUGACCGAGCAACGCCGCGUGAGUGAAGAAGGUUUUCGGAUCGUAAAGCUCUGUUGUAAGAGAAGAACGUGUGUGAGAGUGGAAAGUUCACACAGUGACGGUAUCUUACCAGAAGGGGACGGCUAACUACGUGCCAGCAGCCGCGGUAAUACGUAGGUCCCGAGCGUUGUCCGGAUUUAUUGGGCGUAAAGCGAGCGCAGGCGGUUUGAUAAGUCUGAAGUUAAAGGCUGUGGCUCAACCAUAGUACGCUUUGGAAACUGUCAAACUUGAGUGCGGAAGGGGAGAGUGGAAUUCCAUGUGUAGCGGUGAAAUGCGUAGAUAUAUGGAGGAACACCGGUGGCGAAAGCGGCUCUCUGGUCUGUAACUGACGCUGAGGCUCGAAAGCGUGGGUAGCGAACAGGAUUAGAUACCCUGGUAGUCCACGCCGUAAACGAUGAGUGCUAGAUGUUAGGCCCUUUCCGGGGCUUAGUGCCGCAGCUAACGCAU